This 305-nucleotide ribosomal RNA is filed under the name uncultured bacterium. RNAcentral's name for it is "bacterial SSU rRNA". It matches the Rfam family "Bacterial small subunit ribosomal RNA", at positions 338 to 661 of the family's 1533-position model. The record is from RNAcentral.
CCUACGGGAGGCAGCAGUGAGGGAUAUUGGUCAAUGGGGGAAACCCUGAACCAGCAACGCCGCGUGAGGGAAGACGGUUUUCGGAUUGUAAACCUCUGUCCUCUGUGAAGAUAAUGACGGUAGCAGAGGAGGAAGCUCCGGCUAACUACGUGCCAGCAGCCGCGGUAAUACGUAGGGAGCGAGCGUUAUCCGGAUUCAUUGGGCGUAAAGCGCGCGCAGGCGGGCUGCUAAGCGGGACUUCUAAUCUCGGGGCUCAACCCCGAGCCGGGUUCCGAACUGGCAGCCUCGGGUUCGGUAGGGGUAGG